GUGUCAGCAGCCGCGGUAAUACCGGCAGCACGAGUGAUGACCGCUAUUAUUGGGCCUAACGCGUCCGUAGCUGGCCGCACAAGUCCAUCGGAAAAUCCACCCGCCCAACGGGUGGGCGUCCGGUGGAAACUGUGUGGCUUGGGACCGGAAGGCGCGACGGGUACGUCCGGGGUAGGAGUGAAAUCCUGUAAUCCUGGACGGACCGCCGAUGGCGAAAGCACGUCGCGAGGACGGAUCCGACAGUGAGGGACGAAAGCCAGGGUCUCGAACCGGAUUAGAUACCCUUGUAGUCC
This 293-nucleotide ribosomal RNA is filed under the name uncultured prokaryote. Its description in RNAcentral is "partial 16S ribosomal RNA". It matches the Rfam family "Archaeal small subunit ribosomal RNA", at positions 455 to 747 of the family's 1478-position model. The record is from RNAcentral.